CUUCUCUUAAUAUAAAAGUGGGAGAACAUGAUGAGUGAGUCACAUUUUAUAUCUUUCCACAUUCUUUUAUUUAUAUUUAGAUUGAAGUUGGGAAAAGCAAUCACUGUCAGAAAGCAAACCCUCUUGUGCCUGGUGCUCAGCUGGAAGAUUGUUCUGGACUCUGGGUUUAGUGAAUAAUAAACUUUCAAAUUUCCUUCCUUCACAACAACUGACCAUGACUAACUCUUUGUGAAAGAACUCUGAACACUAUAAGGUACUGUAGUAAUGUUAAGUAAACUUUGCCAUAGGAAGAAAAAGGAAAAGUAACAGAAAUAAAAUGACAGAAAUAAAAAAGAGAAAAAAGGCAUAAAUAGAGAAAAGUUUAAUUAUGUAGUGAUAAUUAUGGGAGAGACAAAAUAUAAGGUAAGUUUUGUUCAGAGAUAAGAAAAUUAUGGUUCCAGUGAUCCCUGAUUCAAAUAUUAACAUAAUUUUGAUGAGUGGGCAAAAAUAUGAGAUGACUAGAAAAUGGAAGAGAUACCUGGUCCUUUUAAUUAUCAUUUUCUUUAUAUGACUUGGGAAACCAAUAAUUUGGGUAACUUAACCCAGUAGUUCUCAACUGAGUUGUUUUACCUUCCCCAGGGGGGAUAUUUGUCAAUGUCUGGAGACAUUUCUUGUUGUCACAAAUAGGAGGAGGUGUGUUACUUGUGUCUAAUGAGUAAAGGCCAGGGAUGUUGAGGAAUAUCCUCUAGCACACAGGACAGCCCCAUGUCCUCACAAGAAGAAUUAUUUGGCCCCAAAGGUAAAAAAUGCUGAUGUUGAGAAAUCUUCGCUUAAUCCAAUUCAUUUUUAAAACCAAAAUGAUGGGUUUUAAAACCCCAAAUAAGCAAACACACGUAAAAACUGAGCUUCAUAUAAUCUUCAGUCAUUCCUUCUUUUUGGUCUGUUCUGUGAUCUAGUACUAUUGAACUAUCCAGAGCCCCACUACAUGGAACUUUAUGAUCCUGUACUUUAGUACUUUUUUCCUUUUUCCUUUCCACAUUUAAGGAUCUUCAAGACUUUUCUU
This 1042-nucleotide long non-coding RNA is filed under the name Macaca mulatta (Rhesus monkey). RNAcentral describes it as "lncRNA (ENSMMUG00000061981.1)". Lineage: Eukaryota; Metazoa; Chordata; Mammalia; Primates; Cercopithecidae. The record is from RNAcentral.